AACGCACGAGACCUGCGGACCUGCGGAAGGAUCAUUAAAUAAAAAACACAAAAAUUAUCCACUUACUGACUUGGGUCGUUCUUCUCUGUAACGGGGGAGAAUACCUGUCAGCAAAGCACCGUGAUGUGUUAAAGUCCAUAACCCUUUUUUUUCAUUAAAAAGGGGUAACUUUAUAAAACCCAUCAAAUAAACUAGCCUAAAAAGCGAGAAAAAGGGUGAAAAGUGAGAAGAAGAGUAUCC
Molecule: unclassified non-coding RNA, 240 nt
Filed under: soil metagenome
Description: partial contains 5.8S ribosomal RNA, internal transcribed spacer 2, and large subunit ribosomal RNA
Source: RNAcentral